GACGAACGCUGGCGGCGUGCCUAAUACAUGCAAGUCGAGCGGACGUUUUUGAAGCUUGCUUCAAAAACGUUAGCGGCGGACGGGUGAGUAACACGUGGGCAACCUACCUUAUCGACUGGGAUAACUCCGGGAAACCGGGGCUAAUACCGGAUAAUAUCUAGCACCUCCUGGUGCCGGAUUAAAAGAGGGCUUCUUGCUCUCACGAUGAGAUGGGCCCGCGGCGCAUUAGCUAGUUGGAGAGGUAACGGCUCCCCAAGGCAACGAUGCGUAGCCGACCUGAGAGGGUGAGCGGCCACACUGGGACUGAGACACGGCCCAGACUCCUACGGGAGGCAGCAGUAGGGAAUCUUCCGCAAUGGACGAAAGUCUGACGGAGCAACGCCGCGUGAGUGAUGGAGGGUUUCGGCUCGUAAAGCUCUGUUAUGAGGGAAGAACACGUACCGUUCGAAUAGGGCGGUACCUUGACGGUACCUCAUCAGAAAGCCACGGCUAACUACGUGCCAGCCGCCGCAGUAA
RNAcentral lists this ribosomal RNA (516 nucleotides) under uncultured bacterium. RNAcentral's name for it is "partial 16S ribosomal RNA". It matches the Rfam family "Bacterial small subunit ribosomal RNA", at positions 28 to 523 of the family's 1533-position model. The record is from RNAcentral.